Molecule: ribosomal RNA, 722 nt
Filed under: uncultured bacterium
Lineage: Bacteria
Description: bacterial SSU rRNA
Rfam family: Bacterial small subunit ribosomal RNA
Source: RNAcentral
CCCCGUUGACCGGGAUAACCACCCGAAAGGGGGGCUAAUACCGGAUACGAAGCCCUAGCGCAUGAUGGGGCUUGGAAAAGGGGAAACUGCGACGGGAGGGUCUCGCGGCCUAUCAGCUUGUUGGUGAGGUAACGGCCCACCAAGGCGACGACGGGUAGCCGGCCUGAGAGGGCGAUCGGCCACACUGGGACUGAGACACGGCCCAGACUCCUACGGGAGGCAGCAAGCGGGAAUAUUGUCCAAUGGGCGAAAGCCUGAGACAGCGACGCCGCGUGAGGGAUGAAGGCAUUCGUGUUGUAAACCUCUGUUGACGGGGACGAAGAUCUGACGGUACCCGUCGAGGAAGCUCCGGCUAACUCCGUGCCAGCAGCCGCGGUAACACGGAGGGGGCAAGCGUUGUCCGGAUUUACUGGGCGUGAAGCGCGCGUAGGCGGUCCACUAAGUCGGCUGUGAAAGCGCUGGGCUCAACUCAGCAAGGUCAGUCGAUACUGGUGGACUCGAGUCCGGGAGAGGGAAGUGGAAUUGCUGGUGUAGCGGUGGAAUGCGUAGAUAUCAGCAAGAACACCGGUGGCGAAGGCGGCUUCCUGGACCGGCACUGACGCUGAGGCGCGAAAGCUAGGGGAGCGAACCGGAUUAGAUACCCGGGUAGUCCUAGCUGUAAACGAUGGUCACUAGGUGUUGGGGGUAUCGACCCCCCCAGUGCCGCAGCUAACGCAUUAAGU